This 484-nucleotide ribosomal RNA is filed under the name uncultured bacterium. RNAcentral's name for it is "partial 16S ribosomal RNA". It matches the Rfam family "Bacterial small subunit ribosomal RNA", at positions 30 to 507 of the family's 1533-position model. The record is from RNAcentral.
AUUGAACGCUGGCGGCAGGCCUAACACAUGCAAGUCGAGCGGAUGAAGGGAGCUUGCUCCUGGAUUCAGCGGCGGACGGGUGAGUAAUGCCUAGGAAUCUGCCUGGUAGUGGGGGAUAACGUCCGGAAACGGGCGCUAAUACCGCAUACGUCCUGAGGGAGAAAGUGGGGGAUCGUCGGACCUCGCGCUAUCAGAUGAGCCUAGGUCGGAUUAGCUAGUUGGUGGGGUAAAGGCCUACCAAGGCGACGAUCCGUAACUGGUCUGAGAGGAUGAUCAGUCACACUGGAACUGAGACACGGUCCAGACUCCUACGGGAGGCAGCAGUGGGGAAUAUUGGACAAUGGGCGAAAGCCUGAUCCAGCCAUGCCGCGUGUGUGAAGAAGGUCUUCGGAUUGUAAAGCACUUUAAGUUGGGAGGAAGGGCAGUAAGUUAAUACCUUGCUGUUUUGACGUUACCAACAGAAUAAGCACCGGCUAACUUCGUG